Molecule: ribosomal RNA, 222 nt
Filed under: uncultured bacterium
Lineage: Bacteria
Description: partial 16S ribosomal RNA
Rfam family: Bacterial small subunit ribosomal RNA
Source: RNAcentral
UACAGAGGGUGCGAGCGUUAAUCGGAAUUACUGGGCGUAAAGCGCGCGUAGGCGGCUUUGCAAGUCGAGUGUGAAAUCCCCAGGCUUAACCUGGGAACUGCAUUCGAGACUGCAUAGCUAGAGUAUGGGAGAGGGAAGUGGAAUUUCAGGUGUAGCGGUGAAAUGCGUAGAUAUCUGAAGGAAUAUCAGUGGCGAAAGCGACUUCCUGGACCAAUACUGACG